UACGAAGGGGGCUAGCGUUGCUCGGAUUGACUGGGCGUAAAGGGCGCGUAGGCGGUUCGUACAGUCAGACGUGAAAUUCCUGGGCUCAACCUGGGGGCUGCGUUUGAUACGUGCGGGCUUGAGUGCGGAAGAGGGUCGUGGAAUUCCCAGUGUAGAGGUGAAAUUCGUAGAUAUUCGCAAGAACACCAGUGGCGAAGGCGGCUUACUGGUCCGGUACUGACGCUGAGGUGCGAAAGCGUGGGGAGCAAACAGG
This 253-nucleotide ribosomal RNA is filed under the name uncultured bacterium. Its description in RNAcentral is "partial 16S ribosomal RNA". It matches the Rfam family "Bacterial small subunit ribosomal RNA", at positions 524 to 776 of the family's 1533-position model. The record is from RNAcentral.